AUUGAACGCUGGCGGCGUGCUUAACACAUGCAAGUCGAUCGGUAACAGGUGUAGCAAUACAUGCUGACGAGAGGCGGACGGGUGAGUAAUGCUUGGGAAUCUGCCUAUUAGUGGGGACAACCCGGGGAAACUCGGGCUAAUACCGCAUACGCUCUACGGAGGAAAGCCGGGACCGCAAGGCCUGGCGCUAAUAGAUGAGCCCAAGUCGGAUUAGCUAGUUGGUAGGGAACGGCCUACCAAGCGACAAUCCGUAGCUGGUCUGAGAGGACGACCAGCCACACCGGAACUGAGACACGGUCCGGGACUCCUACGGGAGGCGAGCAGUGGGGAAUA
Molecule: ribosomal RNA, 333 nt
Filed under: uncultured bacterium
Lineage: Bacteria
Description: bacterial SSU rRNA
Rfam family: Bacterial small subunit ribosomal RNA
Source: RNAcentral